RNAcentral lists this long non-coding RNA (833 nucleotides) under Apteryx haastii (Great spotted kiwi). RNAcentral's name for it is "lncRNA (ENSAHAG00000014665.1)". The record is from RNAcentral. Lineage: Eukaryota; Metazoa; Chordata; Aves; Apterygiformes; Apterygidae.
UGCCGGCCCAUCGUGGUGGUAACUGCUGUAGGCGUUGGUUCCACAUAAGUAGAACCACACGGAUGUCAGAAUAGUAGGUUUCACUACUAGGAUGGUCUUCUUUCUGUCUCCUGUCCCCCAUCAGUCCCUGAGGCACAAGUGACCUCAAAACAACAAACAGCACCCACAUUACCAGCACUGGCCUAUGAGACACAGAGGCACAAGUGACCUCACAACCACAAACACCAACCACAUGACUAGCAGUGGCCUAUCAGGCACUGAGACACAAGGCCUAUCAGGCACUGAGCCACAAGUGACCUCACAACCACAAAGUGCAGCCAUGCAGCUAGGCCUAUCAGGCACUGAGGCACAAGUGACCUCACCAUCAGCACCAAAGCUAUGGGCAUGCUCUUGGCCUACCCGCUUCAGAGAUACAGCUCACCUCACAAGCAAAAAUGGCAUCAACGUGCCUGCUGCUGCCCUAUCUGRAACCGAGACACAAGGGAUCUGAAAAGUGCAAACCUUCACAGAGGAGAAGCUCACCUGGGCCACUCUCACGACCCUUGAUUACCCUGUUAUCACUCCGUACAGAACAGUCUUCUGCAAACACCUUUCAUCUCCUGGCAAGACUCUCUCCAGCUCAUGGCACAGCUCCACUCUGUCACCUGCACACAAAUCACAAAAGGGAACGAUUGCUCUUGCUUUUCCUUUAGUACCAUCAAGUCCGAGCUGGGAGGCUUUGCACUGCAGCACCUGCACAAUGACAGCAGGAUGCCACUUCCAUUUCUGGUGCAUUUCUAGGGACAGAGAUCAGCUGAGGGAGCAGCUGCACUGCAAAGGGUUGCUGACACUGU